This 629-nucleotide long non-coding RNA is filed under the name Homo sapiens (human). RNAcentral's name for it is "HSALNT0293387". Lineage: Eukaryota; Metazoa; Chordata; Mammalia; Primates; Hominidae. The record is from RNAcentral.
GGAGCACACCCGAGCCUGAGACAACAGCUCUGCUAAGUGCCCUUGAGAGGGCACGGUGGGGUCAGCACCAAAGUCAGACCACUAAAGAGAAAAAGAGAGAAAGACAGGAUUGCAGAGGAGAAAUGAGAAUGGCAGAAAAAAUAAUUUUUUAAGCCAAAAGGAAUCAGAGAAGAGCAGAAGUGCCUCUAGGAUAAAGCGUAGCAGGCAGUUAGGGAAAAAGGGCUGUUAACUACCUUGAAGCUCUGACUACAUUAGAAAGCCUCGCAAGACAGUCGUUGCUUGCACGGGCAGGGGUGGUUGGCAAUAAGGAUGGGUGGGAGAGAAAAAAAAACAGAAUUUGAGGAGGAGAGCAUUUAAACCAUCAGACUGUGUGUUCUGUGACAUCAAAGACUGGCAACAUUCUAAAGGAAAAGCAGCUGUGAAGUCAUAAUUAUGUUCACUUCCCACUGGCAACUGGCAAGCCCUUUAUUUUUGUGCAUUCGGAACUCACCAAGAAUAAAUAAAGUCCAUUCCCUCCUUGAGGGGCUAUUCUGCCAUUCCAUCUAGGAUUUAAAAGUUUGCCAAUUCCUAAAACAUCUAUUGUUAUCAAUAGUCUUGUGUCUUUCACAAAGCGGACUUUACAAAAUAAG